GAUGAACGCUGGCGGCGUGCCUAAUACAUGCAAGUCGAGCGAACAGACGAGGAGCUUGCUCCUCUGACGUUAGCGGCGGACGGGUGAGUAACACGUGUAUAACCUACCUAUAAGACUGGGAUAACUUCGGGAAACCGGAGCUAAUACCGGAUAAUAUAUUGAACCGCAUGGUUCAAUAGUGAAAGACGGUUUUGCUGUCUCUUAUAGAUGGAUCCGCGCCGCAUUAGCUAGUUGGUAAGGUAACGGCUUACCAAGGCAACGAUGCGUAGCCGACCUGAGAGGGUGAUCGGCCACACUGGAACUGAGACACGGUCCAGACUCCUACGGGAGGCAGCAGUAGGGAAUCUUCCGCAAUGGGCGAAAGCUUGACGGAGCAACGCCGCGUGAGUGAUGAAGGUCUUCGGAUCGUAAAACUCUGUUAUUAGGGAAGAAAAAAUGUGUAAGUAACUAUGCACGUCUUGACGGUACCUAAUCAGAAAGCAACGGCUAACUACGUG
Molecule: ribosomal RNA, 497 nt
Filed under: uncultured bacterium
Lineage: Bacteria
Description: partial 16S ribosomal RNA
Rfam family: Bacterial small subunit ribosomal RNA
Source: RNAcentral